This 76-nucleotide transfer RNA is filed under the name Oscillospiraceae bacterium. RNAcentral describes it as "tRNA-Lys". It matches the Rfam family "tRNA". From Rfam's summary of the family: Transfer RNA (tRNA) molecules are approximately 80 nucleotides in length. Their secondary structure includes four short double-helical elements and three loops (D, anti-codon, and T loops). Further hydrogen bonds mediate the characteristic L-shaped molecular structure. tRNAs have two regions of fundamental functional importance: the anti-codon, which is responsible for specific mRNA codon recognition, and the 3' end, to which the tRNAs corresponding amino acid is attached (by aminoacyl-tRNA synthetases). tRNAs cope with the degeneracy of the genetic code in two manners: having more than one tRNA (with a specific anti-codon) for a particular amino acid; and 'wobble' base-pairing, i.e. permitting non-standard base-pairing at the 3rd anti-codon position. The record is from RNAcentral. Lineage: Bacteria; Bacillati; Bacillota; Clostridia; Eubacteriales; Oscillospiraceae.
GAUCUGUUAGCUCAGUCGGCAGAGCACCUGCCUUUUAAGCAGGGUGUCCGGGGUUCGAAUCCCCGACAGAUCACCA